This 497-nucleotide ribosomal RNA is filed under the name uncultured bacterium. RNAcentral's name for it is "partial 16S ribosomal RNA". It matches the Rfam family "Bacterial small subunit ribosomal RNA", at positions 28 to 508 of the family's 1533-position model. The record is from RNAcentral.
GAUGAACGCUGGCGGCGUGCCUAAUACAUGCAAGUCGAGCGAACAGACGAGGAGCUUGCUCCUCUGACGUUAGCGGCGGACGGGUGAGUAACACGUGGAUAACCUACCUAUAAGACUGGGAUAACUUCGGGAAACCGGAGCUAAUACCGGAUAAUAUAUUGAACCGCAUGGUUCAAUAGUGAAAGACGGUUUUGCUGUCACUUAUAGAUGGAUCUGCGCCGCAUUAGCUAGUUGGUAAGGUAACGGCUUACCAAGGCGACGAUGCGUAGCCGACCUGAGAGGGAGAGCGGCCACACUGGAACAGAGACACGGCCGAGCCUCCGACAGGGGGCACGAGGGGGGAAUCUUCGACAAGGGGAGAAGGCCGAACGGCGCAGCACCGCGGGGAGGAUAAAGGUUUUGGAAUCAAAAAACCCCUUAAUUGGGGAGAAAAAAAGGAGAAAGCAAAUAUGCACGUCUAGACGAUCCCAAAAAGGAAACCCAGGAAAAACUACGGC